GAUGAACGCUGGCGGCGUGCCUAACACAUGCAAGUCGAACGGAGUCCAGCCUUUAAGACCUUCGGGUCAAAGAGGGGAAGACUGAGUGGCGGACGGGUGAGUAACACGUGGGCAACCUGGCUCAUGGAGGGGGAUAACAGAGAGAAAUUUCUGCUAAUACCGCAUAAGCACACACUGCCGCAUGGCAGAGGGUGAAAAGAGAAUCGCUAUGAGAUGGACCCGCGUCUGAUUAGCCAGUUGGCAGGGUAAGAGCCUACCAAAGCGACGAUCAGUAGCCGAUCUGAGAGGAUGAACGGCCACAUUGGGACUGAGACACGGCCCAAACUCCUACGGGAGGCAGCAGUGGGGGAUAUUGCACAAUGGGGGGAACCCUGAUGCAGCGACGCCGCGUGAGUGAAGAAGUAUUUCGGUAUGUAAAGCUCUAUCAGCAGGGAAGAUAAUGACAGUACCUGAAUAAGAAGCCCCGGCUAACUACGUG
RNAcentral lists this ribosomal RNA (478 nucleotides) under uncultured bacterium. RNAcentral describes it as "partial 16S ribosomal RNA". It matches the Rfam family "Bacterial small subunit ribosomal RNA", at positions 28 to 507 of the family's 1533-position model. The record is from RNAcentral.